AAGAGAAGCCAUCCCGUCUCCUCCUUUAUUUUCUCAUUGCUUGGCUCUUACAACUCUUGUCUGGUUUUCAAAUCUCCCCUCUCCUUACGCUGUGUGCAGCAUUCCCAGAAAGAUACAGCAGGGGGUGGUUUUCUAAACCCUCCCAAAAUAGAAAAGCUCUGCAAAGCCUGACUCUGAAACACAUUUGAUUCCAAAAAGCUGAUGGAACAGCAGCUGAAAUAACCCAGGCUGUCUUCGUCAUUUCCACUUGGGGAGAAUGGGGAAACUCCCUUGGCUAAGCAGCAUGUGACCUUUGCUGGGAUCUGAGUGGUUAGAAACAGAAAAGGACUAUCAGAGCAUCAAAUACUCAUCCCUCCCCUACCUGCGUAUGAGGUGAGUGCAAGCACCUCCUCUCCAGAAGGAGGUGCCAGACAUUGAACAAAUACUACACUUGACUUGUUUUCAUCUCCUUUUAUUGUCCUGCCAGCCCAAGUGCUCUCAGGAGGCUGAAAUCUCUCUACCACUGCUCUUAAAAGCAAACAUGGAAUUCAGGAAGGAAACAGAGCAACUUCUAAUGAACACGGUCUGGAUCUAGAGCCUUUAUCACCCCCUCCACCUCCCUCCUGCCUGUACCAUCCCAUGCCA
This is a long non-coding RNA of Caretta caretta (loggerhead turtle), 624 nucleotides long. RefSeq lists it as uncharacterized. The record is from RefSeq and is a predicted model, not a curated record. NCBI's taxonomy places the organism in Eukaryota, Metazoa, Chordata, Testudines, Cheloniidae.